CUGAAGUGUCCUGGCUAGCUGAGCUGGUCCAUGGUGCGUCUGUCGAUGGACCCUUGGUGUUACCCUUUACUUGGGCAGCUGUCACCGUGGAAAUGAAACAGGUUCUGAGGAGGAGAGCUGAUGAAGGGGUUUCAGUGGACUAAUGUACUGCCAGCGGCAAGAAG
Seriola dumerili (greater amberjack) is the source of this 164-nucleotide long non-coding RNA. RefSeq lists it as uncharacterized. The transcript has 3 exons. The record is from RefSeq and is a predicted model, not a curated record. NCBI's taxonomy places the organism in Eukaryota, Metazoa, Chordata, Actinopteri, Carangiformes, Carangidae.